GAUGAACGCUAGCUACAGGCUUAACACAUGCAAGUCGAGGGGUAACAAGAGGAAAGCUUGCUUUUCUUGUUGACGACCGGCGCACGGGUGAGUAACGCGUAUCCAACCUGCCUAUAACUGGGGAAUAACCUUGCGAAAGUAAGACUAAUACCCUAUGAUUUCCUUUGAUGACAUCAGAUUAGGAAUAAAGAUUUAUCGGUUAUAGAUGGGGAUGCGUCUGAUUAGCUUGUUGGCGGGGUAACGGCCCACCAAGGCAACGAUCAGUAGGGGUUCUGAGAGGAAGGUCCCCUACAUUGGGACUGAGACACGGUCCAAACUCCUACGGGAGGCAGCAGUGAGGAAUAUUGGUCAAUGGGCGGAAGCCUGAACCAGCCAAGUAGCGUGCAGGAUGACGGCCCUAUGGGUUGUAAACUGCUUUUAUACAGGAAUAAAGUUAGCCACGUGUGGUUAUUUGUAGGUACUGUAUGAAUAAGGACCGGCUAAUUCCGUGCCAGCCGCCGCGGUAA
RNAcentral lists this ribosomal RNA (506 nucleotides) under uncultured bacterium. RNAcentral describes it as "partial 16S ribosomal RNA". It matches the Rfam family "Bacterial small subunit ribosomal RNA", at positions 28 to 523 of the family's 1533-position model. The record is from RNAcentral.